AUUGAACGCUGGCGGCAUGCCUUACACAUGCAAGUCGAGCGGUAACAGGUCUUCGGAUGCUGACGAGUGGCGAACGGGUGAGUAAUACAUCGGAACGUGCCUAGUAGUGGGGGAUAACUACUCGAAAGAGUGGCUAAUACCGCAUGAGAUCUACGGAUGAAAGCAGGGGAUCGCAAGACCUUGUGCUACUAGAGCGGCCGAUGGCAGAUUAGGUAGUUGGUGGGAUAAAAGCUUACCAAGCCGACGAUCUGUAGCUGGUCUGAGAGGACGAUCAGCCACACUGGGACUGAGAAACGGCCCAGACUCCUGCGGGAGGCAGCAGUGGGGAAUUUUGGACAAUGGGCGCAAGCCUGAUCCAGCAAUGCCGCGUGCAGGAUGAAGGCCUUCGGGUUGUAAACUGCUUUUGUACGGAACGAAAAGCCCCGGGUUAAUACCCUGGGGUCAUGACGGUACCGUAAGAAUAAGCACCGGCUAACUACGUGCCAGCCGCCGCGGUAA
Molecule: ribosomal RNA, 498 nt
Filed under: uncultured bacterium
Lineage: Bacteria
Description: partial 16S ribosomal RNA
Rfam family: Bacterial small subunit ribosomal RNA
Source: RNAcentral